RNAcentral lists this ribosomal RNA (492 nucleotides) under uncultured bacterium. Its description in RNAcentral is "partial 16S ribosomal RNA". It matches the Rfam family "Bacterial small subunit ribosomal RNA", at positions 29 to 507 of the family's 1533-position model. The record is from RNAcentral.
AGUGAACGCUGGCGGUAGGCCUAACACAUGCAAGUCGAACGGCAUCACAGUAAGAGUUUGCUCUUAUGGGUGGCGAGUGGCGGACGGGCGACGAAAACAUCGGAAUCUACUUUUUCGUGGGGGAUAACGAAGGGAGACCUACUCCAAUACCGCAUACGACCUUCGGGUGAAAGCAGGGGACCUUCGCACCUUGCGCGAUUGAAUGCGCCGAUGUCGGAUUAGCUAGUUGGCGGGGUAAAGGCCCACCAAGGCGACGAUCUGUAGCUGGUCCGAGAGGAUGAUAAGCCACCUGGGAAGUGAGACACGGUCCAGACUACUGCGGGAGGCAGCAGUGGGGAAUAGUGGACAGUGGGCGCAAACCUGCUACAAGCAUACCGAGUGGGUGAAGAAGCCCUUCGGGUUGUAAAGCCCUUUUGUUGGGACAGAAAAGCGGCAGGUUAAUACCCCGCUGCUCUGACGGUACCCAGAGAAUAAGCACCGGCUAACUUCGUG